This 207-nucleotide ribosomal RNA is filed under the name uncultured bacterium. Its description in RNAcentral is "partial 16S ribosomal RNA". It matches the Rfam family "Bacterial small subunit ribosomal RNA", at positions 568 to 774 of the family's 1533-position model. The record is from RNAcentral.
AGUGUAGGCGGCCUCAUGUGUCUGACGUGAAGGCCCCGGGCUCACCCCGGGAAGUGCGUUGGAAACUGUGAGGCUAGAGUCUCGGAGAGGGAGGUGGAAUUCCAGGUGUAGCGGUGAAAUGCGUAGAUAUCUGGAAGAACACCGGUGGCGAAGGCGACCUCCUGGACGAUGACUGACGCUGAGACUCGAAAGCGUGGGGAGCAAACA